This 230-nucleotide ribosomal RNA is filed under the name uncultured Ehrlichia sp. Its description in RNAcentral is "partial 16S ribosomal RNA". It matches the Rfam family "Bacterial small subunit ribosomal RNA", at positions 531 to 760 of the family's 1533-position model. Lineage: Bacteria; Pseudomonadati; Pseudomonadota; Alphaproteobacteria; Rickettsiales; Anaplasmataceae. The record is from RNAcentral.
GGGGCAAGCGUUGUUCGGAAUUAUUGGGCGUAAAGGGCACGUAGGUGGACUAGUAAGUUAAAAGUGAAAUACCAAAGCUCAACUUUGGAGCUGCUUUUAAUACUGCUAGACUAGAGGUCGAAAGAGGAUAGCGGAAUUCCUAGUGUAGAGGUGAAAUUCGUAGAUAUUAGGAGGAACACCAGUGGCGAAGGCGGCUAUCUGGUUCGAUACUGACACUGAGGUGCGAAAGC